UCGAGUGGCGACGGGUGAGUAACACGUGGGUGAUCUGCCCUGCACUUCGGGAUAAGCCUGGGAAACUGGGUCUAAUACCGGAUAGGACCACUUCUUGGAUGGUGUGGUGGAAAGUUUUUUCGGUGUGGGAUGAGCUCGCGGCCUAUCAGCUUGUUGGUGGGGUAAUGGCCUACCAAGGCGUCGACGGGUAGCCGGCCUGAGAGGGUGUACGGCCACAUUGGGACUGAGAUACGGCCCAGACUCCUACGGGAGGCAGCAGUGGGGAAUAUUGCACAAUGGGCGCAAGCCUGAUGCAGCGACGCCGCGUGGGGGAUGACGGCCUUCGGGUUGUAAACUCCUUUCGCUAGGGACGAAGCGU
RNAcentral lists this ribosomal RNA (358 nucleotides) under Corynebacterium sp. H(2012). RNAcentral describes it as "bacterial SSU rRNA". It matches the Rfam family "Bacterial small subunit ribosomal RNA", at positions 91 to 453 of the family's 1533-position model. The record is from RNAcentral. Lineage: Bacteria; Bacillati; Actinomycetota; Actinomycetes; Mycobacteriales; Corynebacteriaceae.